RNAcentral lists this ribosomal RNA (601 nucleotides) under uncultured bacterium. RNAcentral's name for it is "bacterial SSU rRNA". The stretch from base 1 to 516 matches the Rfam family "Bacterial small subunit ribosomal RNA", at positions 338 to 873 of the family's 1533-position model. The record is from RNAcentral.
CCUACGGGAGGCAGCAGUGGGGAAUAUUGGACAAUGGGCGAAAGCCUGAUCCAGCAAUGCCGCGUGAGUGAAGAAGGCCUUCGGGUUGUAAAGCUCUUUUACCCGGGAAGAUAAUGACUGUACCGGGAGAAUAAGCCCCGGCUAACUCCGUGCCAGCAGCCGCGGUAAUACGGAGGGGGCUAGCGUUGUUCGGAAUUACUGGGCGUAAAGCGUACGUAGGCGGCUUUGUAAGUCAGAGGUGAAAGCCCACGACUCAAUCGUGGAACUGCCUUUGAGACUGCUUCGCUUGAAGAUGGGAGAGGUUAGUGGAAUUCCGAGUGUAGAGGUGAAAUUCGUAGAUAUUCGGAAGAACACCAGUGGCGAAGGCGGCUAACUGGACCAUUCUUGACGCUGAGGUACGAAAGCGUGGGGAGCAAACAGGAUUAGAUACCCUGGUAGUCCACGCCGUAAACGAUGAUAACUAGCUGUCGGGGCUCUUGGAGCUUCGGUGGCGCAGCUACGACAUAGUUAUCGUCCGUCGGGUAGGUACGGCCGCGACGUUAAACGUAACAAUAGAUAGUACGCGUGAGACGUGCCGACGGACGACGACGAGGGAGGUAGG